ACACACGGAUAACAUACCGAAAGGUAUGCUAAUACGGGAUAAUAUAUUUGAGAGGCAUCUCUUAAAUAUCAAAGGUGAGCCAGUACAGGAUGGACCCGCGUCUGAUUAGCUAGUUGGUAAGGUAACGGCUUACCAAGGCGACGAUCAGUAGCCGACCUGAGAGGGUGAUCGGCCACAUUGGAACUGAGACACGGUCCAAACUCCUACGGGAGGCAGCAGUGGGGAAUAUUGCACAAUGGGCGAAAGCCUGAUGCAGCAACGCCGCGUGAGUGAUGAAGGCCUUCGGGUCGUAAAACUCUGUCCUCAAGGAAGAUAAUGACGGUACUUGAGGAGGAAGCCCCGGCUAACUACGUGCCAGCAGCCGCGGUAAUACGUAGGGGGCUAGCGUUAUCCGGAUUUACUGGGCGUAAAGGGUGCGUAGGCGGUCUUUCAAGUCAGGAGUGAAAGGCUACGGCUCAACCGUAGUAAGCUCUUGAAGCUGGGAGACUUGAGUGCAGGAGAGGAGAGUGGAAUUCCUAGUGUAGCGGUGAAAUGCGUAGAUAUUAGGAGGAACACCAGUUGCGAAGGCGGCUCUCUGGACUGUAACUGACGCUGAGGCACGAAAGCGUGGGGAGCAAACAGGAUUAGAUACCCUGGUAGUCCACGCUGUAAACGAUGAGUACUAGGUGUCGGGGGUUACCCCCUUCGGUGCCGCAGCUA
This 699-nucleotide ribosomal RNA is filed under the name uncultured bacterium. RNAcentral describes it as "bacterial SSU rRNA". It matches the Rfam family "Bacterial small subunit ribosomal RNA", at positions 135 to 854 of the family's 1533-position model. The record is from RNAcentral.